CCUCGCUUGGCCGAGUGGUUAAGGCGAUGGACUGCUAAUCCAUUGUGCUCUGCACGCGUGGGUUCGAAUCCAGUCCUCGUCGA
This 83-nucleotide transfer RNA is filed under the name Alosa alosa (allis shad). Its description in RNAcentral is "tRNA-OTHER". The stretch from base 8 to 74 matches the Rfam family "tRNA", at positions 8 to 63 of the family's 71-position model. From Rfam's summary of the family: Transfer RNA (tRNA) molecules are approximately 80 nucleotides in length. Lineage: Eukaryota; Metazoa; Chordata; Actinopteri; Clupeiformes; Clupeidae. The record is from RNAcentral.